This 210-nucleotide long non-coding RNA is filed under the name Elaeis guineensis (African oil palm). RNAcentral's name for it is "long non-coding RNA (EGUI_LNC047185)". The record is from RNAcentral. Lineage: Eukaryota; Viridiplantae; Streptophyta; Magnoliopsida; Arecales; Arecaceae.
GUGGCAACCUUGAAAGUUCUUCUAGAAAGACACCUGAAAACUCACAAACCAUUGGGAUGCUUGCUAAAUUUGGCUUGCUUGCUUUUGUAUUGAUUAUACAUGCUAGAUAGGCUUCGCAUCCUUUUUUGAGUAGCUUACUAGCUAUCAAAGUUGAAAUCACAUAGGAAGGAAGUACAUGGCAUUCACAUGAGAAGCAUACCUCUUUGCCAU